RNAcentral lists this ribosomal RNA (253 nucleotides) under uncultured bacterium. RNAcentral's name for it is "partial 16S ribosomal RNA". It matches the Rfam family "Bacterial small subunit ribosomal RNA", at positions 524 to 776 of the family's 1533-position model. The record is from RNAcentral. RNAcentral also lists the same sequence under 1 other name.
UACGUAGGGUGCGAGCGUUAAUCGGAAUUACUGGGCGUAAAGCGUGCGCAGGCGGUUUUGUAAGACAGGCGUGAAAUCCCCGAGCUCAACUUGGGAAUGGCGCUUGUGACUGCAAGGCUAGAGUAUGUCAGAGGGGGGUAGAAUUCCACGUGUAGCAGUGAAAUGCGUAGAGAUGUGGAGGAAUACCGAUGGCGAAGGCAGCCCCCUGGGACGUCACUGACGCUCAUGCACGAAAGCGUGGGGAGCAAACAGG